CGUUAGCGGCGGACGGGUGAGUAACACGUGGGUAACCUACCUAUAAGACUGGGAUAACUUCGGGAAACCGGAGCUAAUACCGGAUAAUAUUUCGAACCGCAUGGUUCGAUAGUGAAAGAUGGUUUUGCUAUCACUUAUAGAUGGACCCGCGCCGUAUUAGCUAGUUGGUAAGGUAACGGCUUACCAAGGCGACGAUACGCAGCCGACCUGAGAGGGUGAUCGGCGACACUGGAACUGAGACACGGUCCAGACUCCUACGGGAGGCAGCAGCC
Molecule: ribosomal RNA, 272 nt
Filed under: uncultured Staphylococcus sp.
Lineage: Bacteria; Bacillati; Bacillota; Bacilli; Caryophanales; Staphylococcaceae
Description: partial 16S ribosomal RNA
Rfam family: Bacterial small subunit ribosomal RNA
Source: RNAcentral